AGAGUUUGAUCCUGGCUCAGGACUAACGCUGGCGGCGUGCCUAACACAUGCAAGUCGAACGAAGUAGCAAUACUUAGUGGCAGACGGGUGAGUAACACGUAGUCAACCUGCCUCUCAAUGGGGGAUAACUAGCCGAAAGGUUAGCUAAUACCGCAUACGAUCGCCGAGUGGCAUCACACGGCGAUGAAAGAAGCAAUUCGUUGAGAGAGGGGACUGCGCCCCAUUAGUUAGUUGGUGGGGUAACGGCCUACCAAGACUCCGAUGGGUAGCUGGCUUGAGAGAGCGACCAGCCACACUGGAACUGAGACACGGUCCAGACUCCUACGGGAGGCAGCAGUGAGGAAUUUUCCGCAAUGGGGGAAACCCUGACGGAGCGACGCCGCGUGUGGGAAGAAGGCCUUCGGGUCGUAAACCACUGUCGAGGGGGACGAUAUUGAUGGUACCCCUGGAGGAAGCCCCGGCUAACUACGUGCCAGCCGCCGCGGUAAUAC
Molecule: ribosomal RNA, 491 nt
Filed under: uncultured bacterium
Lineage: Bacteria
Description: bacterial SSU rRNA
Rfam family: Bacterial small subunit ribosomal RNA
Source: RNAcentral